RNA transcript from Phoenix dactylifera (date palm), 1693 nucleotides. It is a transcript of the gene named cyclin-dependent kinase inhibitor 5-like, with no coding region annotated. Lineage: Eukaryota; Viridiplantae; Streptophyta; Magnoliopsida; Arecales; Arecaceae. The record is from RefSeq and is a predicted model, not a curated record.
UCUCCCUCUACAGGCCGAAGCCACCGUCCUCCUCUCUCUUUAGUCUUUUACAUAAGAUUUCCCUCUUCUCUCUCUCCGAGGGGCCUCUUUCUCAGAAAUUCUCACGCCCUCGUGUGGGUGUCGCUCUCGUCUCCUCUCUCCAUCCCUUCCCGCCCGUCUUCUUUCCCCUCAUCUGCGACUCUCUAUCUCUCCUCCGUCCAAAACCCUUUUUGUUUCCUUCUGUAUUUCGUCUCCAAGAUCGCUUCUUUUCGUUCUGUGUCUGUGUUUCCUCUUCAAAAGCCAAUCUUUCCUUCCUGUGUAUGGGAUCAUCUCAGCAGUUGGAGGAGUAGAUCGGAUGAUGGGGAAGGACAUGAGGAAGGCCAAGAUCAGUGGAGCGGUGGCGGUCAUGGAGGUCCCCAACCAGUCUUCCGUGGGGGUCCGCACCCGGGCCAGAACCCUAGCCCUCCAGCGCCUCCAGAAGCCCACCGCGGACCCAGCCUCCUACCUCGAACUCCGAAGCCGCCGCCUCGAAAAGCCCUUCGUGGCCACCGCCGCUAGGGCUAAGGAGGUCUGUAAGGAGAAACCGAGCCCUAGCCCAAAAUCCAGCUCCAACGCUAGCUCUAAAGGGAGCACCAGCCCUGGCGGCCAGCUGGCGGAGGGCCUGGUGAAUUCGGGCUCGGCGGGGUCGGUGUCGGCGAGGAGCUGCUGCUUGAAGAAGGGAGAUGCCUCGCCGGAGAUCGAGGUUUCCUACAGGGAUAAUUUUCUCGAGCACGAAUCUGGCAGGAAUGCCAGAGAGACCACACCUUGCAGUUUGAUAAGGGAACCUGAAUCUAUAGAGGCCCCCAGUUCUACAAACAAACCGACCAAAUCAACUGGCAACAGCAGGAGGGCGAGGAACUCAACGGGCAGAGACACCCUGGCUGCCCUGGAAUUGGAAGAAUUUUUUGCUGGAGCUGAGCAACCCCAACAAAGACAAUUUGCAGAGAAGUAUAAUUAUGAUCCUGUAACUGAUCAGCCGCUCCCUGGCCGAUACGAAUGGAUGAAACUGGACUAAUGGACGUGGAAGCUGAUCCUAUAUCUUCAACUUCCCAUUCAUCAAUGCCCAGAACUUUCAAAGGAAGAUGCAAAGACGAAACAAAGUGCAAGGAGAACAAUUCUUAGUCUAAUCCCUGUAACAGAUGGAACUUAUCAGCUAGAACUAGCAGGGUAUCAAUCCGGUCUGGUGUCAGAGGUUUUAACCGAUGGUUACUCUUAUCGUUCAAGUUCUUGGAUUACAAGUUUGAGGCGGCGAAGGCUUUUUGUUUUUUCGUGAUCAGGGACAUAAGGGCAGACAGAGCAUAUUUGGCUGUUCGACUGUGGGAGCAGAGCUGUAGGCUGCUUGGGAGGGCGUUUUGUAUGCGAGACGAGUGUUGAGGGCCGACAUACUUAUUCUCGAGGAUGAUUGUUCUACAGUGAUUGACUGGAUACGAGGUGUAGACACGUAUGUGGACGGUCACCAUCUGAUACGGGACACUUAUAGUUUGGUGCAGGAGCUGAUCUUCUGUCAGAUGACCCAUGCUUACCGAGAGGCGAACAGUGCAGCAAACUGGAUCGUCUCUUAUGUCGCCCGGCACACUGGGGAGGUCUUCUGGUUUAGUUUAGAUGGCGUUUUACACGUCUUAUUUUGUUUACUAUGUCUCGCUGUAUUCACGUUAGAGGUAUAUGAAAUGAAAUA